UACAGAGACUGCAAGCGUUACUCGGAUUCACUGGGCGUAAAGGGAGCGCAGGUGGGCAGGUGUGUCGGGCGUGAAAUCCCGGGGCUUAACCCCGGAAUGGCGCCCGAAACUACCUGUCUAGAGGAUUGGAGAGGCGGGUGGAAUUCCAGGUGUAGCGGUGAAAUGCGUAGAUAUCUGGAGGAACACCGACGGCGAAGGCAGCCCGCUGGACAAAUCCUGACACUCAGGCUCGAAAGUAUGGGGAG
Molecule: ribosomal RNA, 245 nt
Filed under: uncultured Coraliomargarita sp.
Lineage: Bacteria; Pseudomonadati; Verrucomicrobiota; Opitutia; Puniceicoccales; Coraliomargaritaceae
Description: partial 16S ribosomal RNA
Rfam family: Bacterial small subunit ribosomal RNA
Source: RNAcentral